This 509-nucleotide ribosomal RNA is filed under the name Agapetus fuscipes. Its description in RNAcentral is "SSU rRNA". It matches the Rfam family "Eukaryotic small subunit ribosomal RNA", at positions 624 to 1101 of the family's 1831-position model. Lineage: Eukaryota; Metazoa; Arthropoda; Insecta; Trichoptera; Glossosomatidae. The record is from RNAcentral.
AAGCUCGUAGUUGAAAUUGUGUCUUGCGGUGUCGGUCUACCGACUGCGGUACGACAGGCACGUCUGCGGGGCUUCUCGCCGGUGCGUCCACCGCCGGCACGUUGCGGUCGUCCGCGAGGGCGGCCGCUCGUCGAGGCGGGCCGUCGCGGCUGUUUACUUUGAACAAAUUAGAGUGCUCAAAGCGGGCUAAGCUUUGCCUGAAUAUUGUACGCAUGGAAUAAUAGAAUAGGACCUCGGUUCUGUUUUGUUGGCUUUCUGAUACCAGAGGUAAUGAUUAAUAGGGACAACUGGGGGCAUUCGUAUUGCGACGUUAGAGGUGAAAUUCUUGGAUCGUCGCAAGACGGACUAAAGCGAAAGCAUUUGCCAAAGGUGUUUUCAUUAAUCAAGAACGAAAGUUAGAGGUUCGAAGGCGAUUAGAUACCGCUGUAGUUCUAACCAUAAAUGAUGCCAGCCAGCGAUCCGCCGACGUUUCAAAAAUUUAACCCGGUGGGCAGCUCCCGGGAAACCAA